CAAAGUUAAAAAAGAUGAGGGUGGAAAUCUUCUUGGAUUGGACAUUACAAUUGAAGAACAAAGAAUUACCUUAGUAAAUAUUUAUGGGCCAAAUGUAGACACUCCUUGCUUUUAUCAAAAGGUGGCAGACAUUAUUGAGGAAUUUGAUAACCAAUCUUGUAUUCUUUGUGGUGAUUUUAACCUCAUUCAAAGUUUUAAUCUUGACACCCAUAAUUAUGUUAAUAUCAACAACCCAAAGUCUAGAGAAAAAGUAUUACAGCUAAUGGAAGACUUUAAUCUAGUUGAUCCAUUUAGAGAAUUAUACCCCAAUUUGAGAAGAUUUACUUGGAGGAAAAAAAAACCCUUUAAACAAUCUCGUUUAGAUUUUUUUCUGAUUUCUGAUAAUAUUUUUCACUUUGUUAGCGAUGUUAAAAUUGAUAAUAGUUACAGGUCUGAUCAUUCACCUGUGGUCUUUUCUUUCAAGAUUAAUGAAUUUAUAAAAGGCAGAGGCCUUUGGAAGUUUAAUAAUUCCCUUCUUCAUGAUACUGACUAUGUUAAAGAGAUAAAAAACCUCAUAAGUAUAGUAAAAGAACAAUAUGCUGUCAAGAUAUAUAGAGAUGAAAAUUUACAAAAUAUUGACAACUCUGAAAUUGAAUUUACUGUUGAUGACCAGUUAUUUUUAGAAACUUUACUCACAGAAAUACGCGGUAAAACUAUUUCAUAUGCCUCUUAUAAAAAAAAGGCGGGUAUAAAAAUUGAAAAUGAAAUUAUUUCAAAAUUAAAACAAU
Molecule: long non-coding RNA, 767 nt
Filed under: Mytilus galloprovincialis (Mediterranean mussel)
Lineage: Eukaryota; Metazoa; Mollusca; Bivalvia; Mytilida; Mytilidae
Source: RNAcentral